UAUGAAGGGGGCUAGCGUUGCUCGGAAUCACUGGGCGUAAAGCGCACGUAGGCGGCUUUCUACGUCAGUGGUGAAAUCCUAGAGCUCAACUCCAGAACUGCCUUUGAUACUGGAGAGCUUGAGUCCGGAAGAGGUGAGUGGAACUCCGAGUGUAGAGGUGAAAUUCGUAGAUAUUCGGAAGAACACCAGUGGCGAAGGCGGCGCACUGGGCCGGUACUGACGCUGAGGUGCGAAAGCGUGGGGAGCAAACAGG
RNAcentral lists this ribosomal RNA (253 nucleotides) under uncultured bacterium. RNAcentral's name for it is "partial 16S ribosomal RNA". It matches the Rfam family "Bacterial small subunit ribosomal RNA", at positions 524 to 776 of the family's 1533-position model. The record is from RNAcentral.